RNAcentral lists this ribosomal RNA (508 nucleotides) under uncultured bacterium. RNAcentral describes it as "partial 16S ribosomal RNA". It matches the Rfam family "Bacterial small subunit ribosomal RNA", at positions 28 to 523 of the family's 1533-position model. The record is from RNAcentral.
GAUGAACGCUAGCUACAGGCUUAACACAUGCAAGUCGAGGGGAAACGACAUCGAAAGCUUGCUUUUGAUGGGCGUCGACCGGCGCACGGGUGAGUAACGCGUAUCCAACCUGCCCACCACUUGGGGAUAACCUUGCGAAAGUAAGACUAAUACCCAAUGAUAUCUCUAGAAGACAUCUGAAAGAGAUUAAAGAUUUAUCGGUGAUGGAUGGGGGUGCGUCUGAUUAGCUUGUUGGCGGGGUAGCGGCCCACCAAGGCUACGAUCAGUAGGGGUUCUGAGAGGAAGGUCCCCCACAUUGGAACUGAGACACGGUCCAAACUCCUACGGGAGGCAGCAGUGAGGAAUAUUGGUCAAUGGGCGAGAGCCUGAACCAGCCAAGUAGCGUGCAGGAUGACGGCCCUAUGGGUUGUAAACUGCUUUUAUAAGGGAAUAAAGUGAGCCUCGUGAGGCUUUUUGCGUGUACCUUAUGAAUAAGGACCGGCUAAUUCCGUGCCAGCCGCCGCCGUAA